This 240-nucleotide ribosomal RNA is filed under the name uncultured bacterium. RNAcentral describes it as "partial 16S ribosomal RNA". It matches the Rfam family "Bacterial small subunit ribosomal RNA", at positions 15 to 244 of the family's 1533-position model. The record is from RNAcentral.
GAUCAUGGCUCAGGAUGAACGCUAGCUACAGGCUUAACACAUGCGAGUCGAGGGGCAGCAUGUAUCCGGCUUGCCAGAUACGAUGGCGACCGGCGCACGGGUGAGUAACGCGUAUCCGACCUGCCGCACACUCCGGGAUAGCCUUGCGAAAGCAAGUUUAAUACCGGAUGCCGUAAGGACGCCGCAUGGUGUUUUUACGAAAGGGGUUUACCGGUGUGCGAUGGGGAUGCGUCCCAUUAG